AUCAGCAAAAGCCUUAUCUGAAAUCCUCCCGUGUCAGACAGAAUAUUUCCACUGGCUGGAUGUAACAGUGAAUGCAGAUCUGGGAUCUAGUCUCAAUCCAAAUCGGAGUGCAGCAAUCAACCACUCAACUCCAGAACUCUCCCUGGUGACACGGGAUUUCAAACUGCAACCUCACAUUGGAAAUCUCUGCAUCCAAUUACCACUUAUCAGAGGCCACCAAUCUCUUAAACUUUAAUGGUUAAAGAAAACUCAAGUGCUUGGUUUACAAAGGCAAUAAACACCUUAAUGCUUUCAUCUUUGUUUUCUCUAGGAAAUUAUUUAAGAAGAAAACCCUCAAACAGUGAUCUCAGCAUUCAUACAGGAGUGAACUUCAGAUACAGUAAUUGCAUAGCUGUGAGCUAUGACGACUUUCCCAUGGGGGAGAAAUGACCUGGUAAUUCAAGAAUGACAAAGUCAAAAGUAAGAGGGCCAUGCAUCCCUGGAGCUGGUUUUAUGGAAGCAAGAACAAAGUUGUGCCCUGGCAUUUCAUUCCCAUGGAGCAGAUGCAGAACAGAGCAUCUAAAACAACACUGCU
Long non-coding RNA from Poecile atricapillus (Black-capped chickadee), 574 nucleotides. RefSeq lists it as uncharacterized. Lineage: Eukaryota; Metazoa; Chordata; Aves; Passeriformes; Paridae. The record is from RefSeq and is a predicted model, not a curated record. The transcript has 3 exons.